Gasterosteus aculeatus aculeatus (three-spined stickleback) is the source of this 6498-nucleotide long non-coding RNA. The record is from Ensembl. Lineage: Eukaryota; Metazoa; Chordata; Actinopteri; Perciformes; Gasterosteidae.
GGCCGAACAUAUUCCGUUGGAGGCCAAGGACCCCGUAUCCGUCGUGGAAAGUCUAAAGGAAGCCUCCCAUUUCGGGAGCCUAAUGCAUGAAGGGAGAUGAUUGCAAGUGAAGGGCUGGCGGGCGGCGGGUGUUUGAUGCAAAGUGACAACUGGUCUGAUGAACUGCUGAGCACCAGUCAGACCAUAACUGCUGCUGCACAGCAGCUCCUCCUCCUCCUCCUUCUCCUUCGAUCUUACCGAUGGGACUCUGAGAGGACAUUAUUUAUUGUCUAAUUAAUUAUCUUAAAGGGGAGAUACUUUUUUUUCGAUUCUUACUUGUAUUUUUGGUUGUGUUGUUCUUUAAUGUCCGGAAUUCUGUCUGUCCGGACACAUCUGCCUUCACACUCAGUGCCCGUGUCUUCAACAGCCGGACAAAGUCUGCUCUGAUUGGUCAGAAACGUGCUUCAUCGAGGGGACGCGGUUUCUCAACGUGGGCACAGACCUGCUUUAUAAAUCCGAAGGAGGAUCUCACUCACCACAAAGUUGGACGUCUGAUGGUUGGGUUUCACAAAACGUGCGUUCUCAAGGUUCCGUUCUGUCUCAUCUACUCAUCUAGUUGUUUUCGCUGGUUGUCAGGGACAACGGAGGACAGCGCCAUCAUUGAAGAGGACACGGGGCCCAUCUGCCCUCCUUGAGGAUUGAUGUUUCAUCUAACAUCUCAACCUUGGUUAUUUGAUGCUCUGCAUGCUUAUGAUGUGUUUCUCAUGUUGCCCAUCUGUCUUUAUGGCAAAUGGAAUACGAUUUGCAGAGGUUUUUUAUUGAACUGUGUGGGUUUUCGCGAUGAGGCUGAAACGAUGCAUCUGCCCCCCUCCUUUACUUUGGCGUUGUGUUAUGUUCGCUGGAAGGAAAAGAAGGACUUCUCCUACUUGUCAUGCAGCGAGCGCACGUUGCAGGAUUUGUAUUUGAAGACAUUGCGCUCAUUUCCUUAGCUGUCAUUAGACCGGCCAAGCCAGAACUCUUCAUUCUACUGAGUUGUGAUCAGCUCACAUCAAACACUCAUACGAGCUUUAUUCAAUAUUCCACUGCCCUUGAAAAUUCUAUUAUAGAAAUCCAUUCGGGGGACUGAAAUGACUUAUUUCCCCGAAGCCUUUGAACCGAUGCGCGGCCGCUCGGCCCCCGGGCAGACGUGCGGCGGUUUCCCCACUCAGACGUAAUGACAGGCGCGGGGCGCAAAGUGACAGGCCGACGGCUGGCCUCCCCUCAGAGGGGUCGCGGAGGGAGGCGGUGACACUUGGUGUCUCUCCGGGCGGCGUCGGAUGCUGGGAGCCAACAGACACGCGAUCAAUGAGGCCCGGGCCAACGGCGACGGUGGCGCCCGAAAGACACGCUGGCUCAAGUCACGCCUUUGGAGGGAGGGCGACGUCGCCACUUUCGAUCAGGUUCAGAAACACGUCUCAUGAUGACACGUAUGGGAUCUGAUACAGCUGCUUCCUUUGGGGUUUGGCCUCAUUAAAGUGUCCUGCAGCUCCACGGAUUUAAAUGCCGCUGUUAAUUUCUGAUCUUUCUUUAUUCGGCGCGCAACCACUUAGAGGUCAUUACCAGGCAAAAAAGUGACCAUCGUUUCGAGCAGCAUUUCAACAACCCAUUGAGUUCCAUUUUCACCCAAUAGGGACAUUUGAAACCCAGUGGAAGGAUGGCUCGCUUAUUUUUCUUCUUCUGUUGAGUAUCUUUUUUUCCUUAAUUCCUUCUACGUCCCUUUGUUGCUCGAUGACAAUAAAUGUUCUUUGAUAACUUGAAACGUGGGAUGUGAAAUGUAUUAUUACAUACUCUGUUCCUCCCGAAGCACAAAGGGCUUUCAGAGUUACGCAGGUUACAAUAAAGGAUUAUUAGAAAAACGCUGAAGAUGUCGCGAUGAAAUGACUUCCUAACCCUUUUAGAUCAUUUUCCAGUAUUAUUUUGCACGUAUUCUACAGUAAAUGCAAAAAAUGUUACAUGGAACAUGAAAAAUGACCUGUAUGUAAGAUGCCCCCUCCUGUAUAUGUAAACCGGAGCCUCCAGCACUGUAUUUAUCAGUGAUACGGGAUAUUAUUCUCCUCCCUCCAGAACACAACCGUGUAGCUCAUGACGUCAACUGCACUGCUGACAUGGUGCAACCUGAUUUAGAGCAUUGUGCAAGUGAGCAGAAGUCCCGACAUCCAUCUGGACCUGACAUGGGCUUCUCCCCAUGUGCAGCUGUGCAGAUGUUGGCCCCCAAAGAGCCACGCGGACCAGAGAUUAAUGCAUGCUGUGACAAACAGGAAUUAAUCAAGCAGCCGUGGAUCUGUUUGCAAUCACACGGUGUAUUGUUGCCAUAACUGUUUUACAGAUGGAAAGGACUUAAGUCACUUCACCCUGUUUGUUUGGUUUGGUUUUGUUGGUCUUUUUCAUCAUCAAUUAUUUUUUACUUGUUUAAUUCCUUGAACGCCUUUAGUUUCAAGUAUGUUUUUCACCCUUUUUUAAGGCCCUUUGGCGGAAUCCUCUGCUCACUCCCACACCAUCACUACCGCGGGCAUGCUGGUUCUUCAUGUGAUGAUCUAUCACCCAGCUGCUCAGUUACUGCCACUUCCACCGAGGCUGGUCCAUUGCUCUGGUUGUCAAGUAGUAAAUUGGCACUGAGACCGGUUUCCUCCACUAGAGACCACUUGUUGGCUGCUUACCUUUUAAAGCAGCGUGCCGUCUACUUAGAGAAAUGUGCAGGGGUUGAUAAUGGUGCGUAACGAUGGAAUUAUUCUGUUGGAAAUGUAUACGUGAAUUAUUUAUUCGUGAAGUGAGGGAAGAGAUGGUGAUCAUCUGAAAAAGAAUCCAUAGGCCGAAUGAAUCAUUGGAAACAAAAAGGCAGACGGACAUGUUUAAUUCAUAUAGAUUACCCAUCGAUUGUGAAUGUACUGUUGAAGAAUGAAGUUUCAUUUGCAGAGUUUGUGGACUAUUUUUAGUUCUCCCGGAUCAACGGGCCGCUCAUUCAUCCACGUCAACCUCGUCCUGCUGCAGACUUUAUCACUUCCUCUGCUGUACGUUGGAGAUGAUGGGAUCUACAUGCGGAUUAAGAGGGUUUUGACGUGCGUGCUGCUGUGACUAAUCAUAUCACAUUAAACUCUCAUAUUUAAGACGUACAUGUAUGGCUUAAUGAAACUCAGCUACUUAUCGACAUUUCCUUAAUCCGUUUAACGAACAAACUCAUUACUUUUGCAAAAGCCUUUUUUCUUCGAUGCUAAAACUGCAACUCAUGGUCCGAUAUCAGAUGGUGGUAGAAAAAUGAUGACUGCUGAUAUCCUCAGUCCUGCAAUAUGGAUUUUGGUAUUUCAUUACUUAUUUUGACCCCUGAAGCUCGUCCCCGCCUGGGGGGGGGACACGUUGUUUGUCCAGCCCGUUUGACCGUCUACUUUUAAUUAUCUGCACAUGCAGCUAGUUGUCAUUCCGCUCAGUGAGCAUCUCAUCUUAAAUCGCCAGCGUGAGCCGAUUAAAAAGCGGAGUUCCUCCAUCGACUGCAUGCAAAAAAAAAAAAGACAAAACCCUAGAACCAAUAUGAUUAUUUCCAACAGGACUCUGCACACGGCAGCCGUGACCUUAAGUGACUGAACUGCAGCCACAUUCGAAAAAGGCACUGCUGCUGGUUGUAAUGAGACACUAAGUAAAGAUCCAGUCUCACUGCGUCCCGGAUGUCCUCCUCUGCCUGUGAGCUGGCCCUAUUUCCCCUCCUCUGGCCGGGUAACGGAAUCAAACGGGGGCUGAAAUAAGGCCCGAGUCGGCAGUCAGGCACAUCCUGGAGGACAGGAAGUCGGCCGCCCUCUGAGCGGCGCUCUCCUGCCCUCUGCUGGUUCGAUGCCGCGUUUUCACAGAGACACGCUUCUCCUUCUCCAGGCGACUUUGGCAGUUUGUCUAGUUUUCUGUGGCAUCCGAGUCAGAGUAGAAAUAGAUAUUGUGUGUUUUUUUUUGUUUAUUCCUUGGCGGAGUGAGACGGAUGUUGAUGUGAGUUUGAUCUGUCGGGAUGAGAGAUGAGAUACAAGCGUCAGUGAGCAGCGUGAAAACCUGCCCGGCAGCAUGGCUGCUUCUUAUGAAGCGUUUCUUUCCCCACAUGCUGCAAAUCUGAUAUUUCUGUGAUGGUUAAAAGGUACAAUUCCUGACAAAUAAGGCAGAAAAUAUGUACUGGAAUUAUAAAAGCAGGUCCGUUCUAUUGCUUUGAUUUCAAACAUGAAUUUUCCGAUCACUGUCAGAAAACACAAAUAAGUCACAUUUAGCUGUUAGUCUUUUGAACUGAUCCGUCUCUCAGCUCGGGAGUCUAGUCAUGUGUUUUUUUGCUUUAAGAAAGGACAUAAAAUAUAAACCCUGGUUCUCCUGAAGUGCCACUAACGUUUGCUUUGAACUAUUUGCAGAUACUACUUAAAUAUUUUCUGUGUAGCUGCAUUUGAAUGUUUUUACACAUGCAUAGAGGCCACUUUUUAAUAAUAAUAAAGGACAUUCCACUGUUAAUACCAUGAGAAUAGUUGCAGAGAAUUGUUGUCACUGAGUAUUUAUUCACUUUGGCACUGCUACUUUUAUUAAGUAAAGGUUUGGUUGAGUACCACAACAAUAAAAAAGAACAUUAAAGCCUUUCAGAACACAACUCACAAAAUAAAGACAUCAACAACACGGCCAUUUGUUACCCGGCAACCGGCUAAGUAAGAACAGCAGAGUCAUCAAUAAGCCUGACAUCACUCUGCUGCAGCAGUCAUUAGAUUCAAAACGUGAAAUAACGAAGUGUACAGAAUGCGUUGUGUUGCCUUCAGGCAGCGAGAUUGACUUGUACAGCACAUCACUGAAUGCAAAGCAGCUCUCUCUCUCUCUCUAUUUCUCCCUGUCAUUCUUUGGGGGGGGGGGGGGCGACGGGCCCCCGGAGGCCUGUGGGAGCCGGAGGCCCGUCAGCGGGGUUUGAGGCCGGCUCCAGCCGCCCCUCCCCCCCAGGGGAGCCGCUUGAUUAAUUGAGCUGGCUGAUUUACGACGGGUCCGGCAGCUCGGCGCACACGUGCACGUGCACAUGCGCUCGUACCUCGGAGUGUGUCUCCUCCUUUUCAUCCCCCUGCGUGAGUCGCUGCCUGCGCACGUGUCUGCGCACGCGUUCCUUGAGUGCUGCGAUUGUGUGCGUUUCCUCCUCUGAAUGCUUCGUUAUGCAUAGCGAGUUACUCUGUUUACACAUUUGUCAUUCUGUGUGUGUGUGUGUGUGUUUGGAAAGAAUCUCUCUCUCUCUACAUAAUUACAGCUUCCAGGCCCCAGCAAAGCAGCAUGUGGUAGCCUGGAUGUCAGGGCCGGCCAGGCCCCCAGCAUUCCCACCGGGGUGAGUCUGGGGUCUGCUGUCCAGGCAGAACGCUCGGGAUUGAUGUGCAGUAGGUUGGAUGGUCUGCAGCCAAAACAUCAUCAGGACCUCUCUUUGACUUCACAUUCUUCUCACCACAUUCUCCUUCUUGAUGAUGAACGUGGGUGCAGCGUGUAAAGUGAAAGGCGAGCAGGGUGCACACGUUGUGGGUUUUUUUCCUUUCAAUGACACAAAAGCAUGAAACUGUAAAACCUAAAAGAUGUUAGCGGCUCUUGAAUCCGAUUGAGCUUAAAUCUUCCAAUAGGUUUCCUCUUUCCCGUUAAAUCACCUAAACUUAUCUUCAGCAGUUAAAAGGGAGUUUUUCAUGUGUUAAAAUAGAGAUUCCUAUGGAAUUUUCAAGUACAACAACCCUGAGUCGAAGCCUUUCACAGGAAAGAGGAGGUUAGGGCCCAAUGAGGUGGGGUUAAGGGCUGACGGGGCACACACAACACGCACAACACACACACACACAAAUACCCAGAGCCCCUGGAGAAAUUCCUCAGAUUUUUGUUGUUUUUUCUCUGCGAGUGAUAACGGCUAGAGGAGAGCUGGACGCUGCGCUGGAGAACGCUGAACUCUCACAAUCACAGCACCUGACAUUGUUUUGGCGUCGUGGUGCACGUGAAGUGUUCUGCUACGCCGUGUGUUUUGAGCUGGAGGGCUUCGGGACACUCGAUGGAGAAAUCCAUCAGUCCAACGUGACGCGCAGCAUUUAAGGAGGACGUGUAAACUUAAACACGUCUGUGCGGUGUGCUCGGCGUCAGCGCCAGAUAUCAUCCCGCAAAGAGCACGUAAGUGAUUGGGUUUAAAAAUCCAAGCCAUAAAAGGACAUUUACAUCUCAGCAGUAAAUUCAUGUGAGCGUCCCGAACGAGCCAGUAACUACAGCCUUUGCACAAAUUCCACGUCAUAAAUUUUCACUGCAGUAUGUAAAACAUUUCAUUUCCUUUCCUUCGUCUCAGGACUCCGAACCUCCUCUUGUACGUCUGAACGCAGUAAAGUCCCCCCCCCUUUGGGGUCAGCGGGACGGGGUCCCUGCCUCCUUUUCCUUACUGCAGUCAUUCCUCAGCUAAAAAGCUUUUGGAGGCCGGAUUGUUGGUCGAACCGGACUCUUCUGUGACGCGACACGUUGGUUAUUCACGCAGAGAUCAACAGG